RNAcentral lists this ribosomal RNA (253 nucleotides) under uncultured bacterium. RNAcentral describes it as "partial 16S ribosomal RNA". It matches the Rfam family "Bacterial small subunit ribosomal RNA", at positions 524 to 776 of the family's 1533-position model. The record is from RNAcentral.
GACGUAGGGGGCCAGCGUUGUUCGGAAUUACUGGGUGUAAAGGGUGCGUAGGCGGCGCGGUAAGUCGGGUGUGAAAUCUCGGAGCUUAACUCCGAAACUGCAUUCGAUACUGCCGUGCUUGAGGACUGGAGAGGAGACUGGAAUUUACGGUGUAGCGGUGAAAUGCGUAGAUAUCGUAAGGAAGACCAGUGGCGAAGGCGGGUCUCUGGACAGUUCCUGACGCUGAGGCACGAAGGUCAGGGGAGCAAACGGG